AAGGCAAAAUAGAAAAGAAAAAAAUCUUAGAAAACACAGAAGAUAAGAAAAAUAAUAAGAAUUUUAAUUUAUUAAAGGGCUUUUUUGUCAACAGUAUAUAUUGAUAAUAAUAUACACAAGCUUUACAAGCUUUAUUUUUGUAAACACAGGUAUGUAUCUAUGAUACUUAUGAGUAACUGGGUGAAUGCAGGACUCUCAUAACGUGCUAUAUACAUUUUAACAGCUGCAUCAUUCUUUAUUGUACCCAGACUUGUUUUUGACUUUGUGUGUUGCCUCUUUUAGAGGCAUUUGUUUAAAACAAACACAGGUGUAAGGUCAAAUGUACUUUUAUCGUGAGGACAUUUAUUAUAAGUAUGUACUGUAUCUCUACAAUAUGUUGUAGAUAAUUUCUCCCACUAUGAGGGACUUCCUUUUAUUGAUGUGCCAUAACCAUUUCUUGUGCUUAAUUUGAAUUCUUUGCUUCAUGUUUCCAUCAGAUUUUUUAAACUCAGUGUGCAUAAAAUGUGAGGAUUAAGAGAAAACAAUAAAAAUAUAUAAUUGUGUUCCAAUGUUAGCACUGUGGACCAAAAUUCGACAAAAUAAUUGGUAUAACGGCAUUUAGAGCAUACACUUAUGUUAUUUUGACACAAGGGAUUUGUUUCCAAAAUCCUCUUCUAGAUAAUAAUUAGAAAUUUAACUUACUGGUCAGUAAACAUCAGUGACCAUUUUCUGUUCUUCCACAACAGAUUUACAGGUUUUUAGACUAAACUUUUCUGACAUGAGUGAAUAUUUAAUGGUCUAUGUUCAUAAAAGUUCAAGGCUCAUAAUAUUCAUGUAACAUUGCAUUGUGUCAUUGUUACUAUUUUCACAGCCUGUUUUAUGUGUUUUCAAAAACUAGAAAAUGUAAAUUCAGUUGAAAGCAGCUGAAAGAUGAAAAGGUUAAGUUGGAAAGAUUAAAACAGUUUGAUUGAUCAGAAAAAUAAAGCUUUCAAAAGUGUUUCACUCUCCAAAGUUCUAAGAUUAAUAUCUGUCUUUCUGUAUUUUCAAAAUGCCUCAGGUGGAAUCAGUUCAGGCUUUAAUGAAGAGAGGAAACAUUUCUACAAAAAGUGUACAAAAAGAGUGAUCAAGUUCUAAGUGAGCACAAGACAGCACAAACUACACUAUGCACAAUGUGUUCCAACAAAACACAGAUGAUACCAAAAGAGAAAAAGAAAGCUUAUGGACCAGCUGCAUGUGAGGAAGGCAAGAACGUGUUGUUUCCUGGAAAGACUGUGGCCUCUAAGAUCUGCGUGCCUGCCACAUCUUCAUUUGAAGCUCCCAGUCCGUCUACGCAUGGAAAUCCUGAACAAUGGGGUGUCUACUUGCUGAUAGGCAUCUGGAAAGCAGAGCAGGAGAAGUCCAGCCCUCCACACCAAAGGGAGAAGAAAAGACUGAGUUCACCCUCUGAGACCACUGCCUACAGUAGGCACAGUACUCCACUUCACAAGCAGAGACCCCGCUGUCCCCACUCAACCUCCAAAAACAGAGGGAGGGCAGAGGUGCAGCUCUCCCUGAGUUCAAGAGAUGUAAAACUGCAACAGACUGUCCUGUCAGAGCCAGCAGAGGCCCUAAAUACAACAGUGAUCUAAAGCCCAAAUGAUGCAACAUGCAUCCUCUUUGAAUAAAAUCUGUAAAUUUGA
Thunnus maccoyii (southern bluefin tuna) is the source of this 1658-nucleotide long non-coding RNA. RefSeq lists it as uncharacterized. NCBI's taxonomy places the organism in Eukaryota, Metazoa, Chordata, Actinopteri, Scombriformes, Scombridae. The record is from RefSeq and is a predicted model, not a curated record. The transcript has 3 exons.